Molecule: ribosomal RNA, 571 nt
Filed under: uncultured bacterium
Lineage: Bacteria
Description: bacterial SSU rRNA
Rfam family: Bacterial small subunit ribosomal RNA
Source: RNAcentral
AUGCAGUCGAACGACAUGGUAAUACAUGGAGUGGCGAACGGGUGAGGAACACGUGGGAAUCUUUCCUUCAGUGGGGAAUAACUUUUGGAAACAAAAGCUAAUACCGCAUGAAACCUGAAAAGGGAAAGGUAGAAUGUUUACGAAUAUUCUAUCGCUGGAGGGUGAGCCCGCGCCUGACUAGGUAGUUGGUGGGGUAAUGGCCUACCAAGCCAAUGAUCAGUAGCUGGUCUGAGAGGAUGAUCAGCCACACUGGGAUUGCGAUACGGCCCAGACUCCUACGGGAGGCAGCAGUGGGGAAUAUUGGACAAUGGGCGAAAGCCUGAUCCAGCAACGCCGCGUGAGUGAUGAAGGCCUUCGGGUUGUAAAGCUCUUUUGAUAGGGAAGAUAAUGACUGUACCUAUAGAAUAAGUCCCGGCUAACUUCGUGCCAGCAGCCGCGGUAAUACGAAGGGGACUAGCGUUGUUCGGAAUGACUGGGCGUAAAGGGCGCGUAGGCGGUAAAGUAAGUGAUGCGUGAAAGUCCUGGGCUUAACCUAGGGAGUGCGUCUCAUACUGCUUUGCUAGAGGACAGG